Molecule: ribosomal RNA, 282 nt
Filed under: Escherichia coli
Lineage: Bacteria; Pseudomonadati; Pseudomonadota; Gammaproteobacteria; Enterobacterales; Enterobacteriaceae
Description: partial 16S ribosomal RNA
Rfam family: Bacterial small subunit ribosomal RNA
Source: RNAcentral
CUGUCGUCAGCUCGUGUCGUGAGAUGUUGGGUUAAGUCCCGCAACGAGCGCAACCCUUUUCCUUAUUUGCCAGCGGGUUAAGCCGGGAACUUUAAGGAUACUGCCAGUGACAAACUGGAGGAAGGCGGGGACGACGUCAAGUCAUCAUGGCCCUUACGACCAGGGCUACACACGUGCUACAAUGGUAGGUACAGAGGGUUGCUACACAGCGAUGUGAUGCUAAUCUCAAAAAGCCUAUCGUAGUCCGGAUUGGAGUCUGCAACUCGACUCCAUGAAGUCGGA